UACGUAGGGUGCGAGCGUUAAUCGGAAUUACUGGGCGUAAAGCGUGCGCAGGCGGUUCGUUAAGUCAGUUGUGAAAGCCCCGGGCUCAACCUGGGAAUGGCGGUUGAAACUGGCGAACUAGAAUCUGGCAGAGGGGGGUGGAAUUCCACGUGUAGCAGUGAAAUGCGUAGAGAUGUGGAGGAACACCGAUGGCGAAGGCAGCCCCCUGGGCUGAGAUUGACGCUCAGGCACGAAAGUGUGGGGAUCAAACAGG
This 253-nucleotide ribosomal RNA is filed under the name uncultured bacterium. RNAcentral describes it as "partial 16S ribosomal RNA". It matches the Rfam family "Bacterial small subunit ribosomal RNA", at positions 524 to 776 of the family's 1533-position model. The record is from RNAcentral.